UAGGGAAUCUUCCGCAAUGGACGCAAGUCUGACGGAGCAACGCCGCGUGAGUGAAGAAGGAUUUCGGUUCGUAAAACUCUGUUGUUAGAGAAGAACAGCGCAUAGAGUAACUGUUAUGCGUGUGACGGUAUCUAACCAGAAAGCCACGGCUAACUACGUGCCAGCAGCCGCGGUAAUACGUAGGUGGCAAGCGUUGUCCGGAUUUAUUGGGCGUAAAGCGAGCGCAGGCGGUCAAUUAAGUCUGAUGUGAAAGCCCCCGGCUCAACCGGGGAGGGUCAUUGGGAACUGGUUGACUUGGGUGGAGAAGGGGAGAGUGGAAUUCCAUGUGGAGCGGGGAAAUGCGUAGAUAUAUGGAGGAAACCCAGUGGCGAAGGCGACUCUCUGGUAUGUAACUGACGCUGAGGCUCGAAAGCGUGGGUAGCAAACAGG
Molecule: ribosomal RNA, 429 nt
Filed under: Bacteroidota bacterium
Lineage: Bacteria; Pseudomonadati; Bacteroidota
Description: Bacteroidetes bacterium partial 16S ribosomal RNA
Rfam family: Bacterial small subunit ribosomal RNA
Source: RNAcentral